AUUGAACGCUGGCGGCAGGCCUAACACAUGCAAGUCGAACGGUAACAGGAAGAAGCUUGCUUCUUUGCUGACGAGUGGCGGACGGGUGAGUAAUGUCUGGGAAACUGCCUGAUGGAGGGGGAUAACUACUGGAAACGGUAGCUAAUACCGCAUAACGUCGCAAGACCAAAGAGGGGGACCUUCGGGCCUCUUGCCAUCGGAUGUGCCCAGAUGGGAUUAGCUAGUAGGUGGGGUAACGGCUCACCUAGGCGACGAUCCCUAGCUGGUCUGAGAGGAUGACCAGCCACACUGGAACUGAGACACGGUCCAGACUCCUACGGGAGGCAGCAGUGGGGAAUAUUGCACAAUGGGCGCAACCCUGAUGCAGCCAUGCCGCGUGUAUGAAGAAGGCCUUCGGGUUGUAAAGUACUUUCAGCGGGGAGGAAGGGAGUAAAGUUAAUACCCUUGCUCAUUGACGUUACCCGCAGAAGAAGCACCGGCUAACUCCGUG
RNAcentral lists this ribosomal RNA (490 nucleotides) under uncultured bacterium. Its description in RNAcentral is "partial 16S ribosomal RNA". It matches the Rfam family "Bacterial small subunit ribosomal RNA", at positions 30 to 507 of the family's 1533-position model. The record is from RNAcentral.